Molecule: ribosomal RNA, 253 nt
Filed under: uncultured bacterium
Lineage: Bacteria
Description: partial 16S ribosomal RNA
Rfam family: Bacterial small subunit ribosomal RNA
Source: RNAcentral
UACGUAGGGACCAAGCGUUGUUCGGAUUUACUGGGCGUAAAGGGCGCGUAGGCGGCGCGGUAAGUCACUUGUGGAAUCUCUGAGCUUAACUCAGAACGGCCAAGUGAUACUGCAGUGCUAGAGUGUGGAAGGGGCAAUCGGAAUUCUUGGUGUAGCGGUGAAAUGCGUAGAUAUCAAGAGGAACACCUGAGGUGAAGACGGGUUGCUGGGCCAACACUGACGCUGAUGCGCGAAAGCGUGGGGAGCAAACAGG